UACAGAGGGUGCAAGCGUUAAUCGGAGUUAUUGGGCGUAAAGGGUACGUAGGCGGAUAUUUAAGUCGAAUGUGAAAGCCCCGGGCUUAACCUGGGAACUGCGUUCGAUACUGGAUUGUCUUGAGUAUGGUAGAGGAAGGCGGAAUUUCCGGUGUAGCGGUGAAAUGCGUAGAUAUCGGAAAGAACAUCGGUGGCGAAGGCGGCCUUCUGGACCAAUACUGACGCUGAGGUACGAGAGCGUGGGGAGCAAACAGG
This 254-nucleotide ribosomal RNA is filed under the name uncultured bacterium. Its description in RNAcentral is "partial 16S ribosomal RNA". It matches the Rfam family "Bacterial small subunit ribosomal RNA", at positions 524 to 776 of the family's 1533-position model. The record is from RNAcentral.